AUUGAACGCUGGCGGCAGGCCUAACACAUGCAAGUCGAGCGGAUGAGAGGAGCUUGCUCUUCGAUUCAGCGGCGGACGGGUGAGUAAUGCCUAGGAAUCUGCCCAGUAGUGGGGGACAACGUUUCGAAAGGAACGCUAAUACCGCAUACGUCCUACGGGAGAAAGUGGGGGAUCUUCGGACCUCACGCUAUUGGAUGAGCCUAGGUCGGAUUAGCUAGUUGGUAGGGUAAAGGCCUACCAAGGCGACGAUCCGUAACUGGUCUGAGAGGAUGAUCAGUAACACUGGAACUUAGACAAGGUCCAGACGCCUACGGGAGGCAGCAGUGGGGAAUAUUGGACAAUGGGCGCAAGCCUGAUCCAGCCAUGCCGCGUGUGUGAAGAAGGCCCUCGGGUCGUAAAGCACUUUAAGUUGGGAGGAAGGGCUUACAGCGAAUACCUGUGAGUUUUGACGUUACCGACAGAAUAAGCACCGGCUAACUUCGUGCCAGCCGCCGCAGUAA
This 500-nucleotide ribosomal RNA is filed under the name uncultured bacterium. RNAcentral's name for it is "partial 16S ribosomal RNA". It matches the Rfam family "Bacterial small subunit ribosomal RNA", at positions 30 to 523 of the family's 1533-position model. The record is from RNAcentral.